RNAcentral lists this unclassified non-coding RNA (248 nucleotides) under fungal sp. RNAcentral's name for it is "partial internal transcribed spacer region". The stretch from base 1 to 46 matches the Rfam family "Eukaryotic small subunit ribosomal RNA", at positions 1786 to 1831 of the family's 1831-position model. Lineage: Eukaryota; Fungi. The record is from RNAcentral.
AAGUCGUAACAAGGUUUCCGUAGGUGAACCUGCGGAAGGAUCAUUAACAAAUCUAUUCUUCUACAUAAACCCGUUGCAUUGGCCGUGAAUACCAUAAAUUGGGCCAGUUAGGCCUGGUUUGUGGUUGAAACGGAGAAAGGUGGACCCGCAAGGUGAAGCCUUUUCACAUAAACUCGUCUAUUUAUUGUCUAAAUGUUCGUAAUGGUUAUAACAAGUACAACUAUUAACAGUGGAUCUCUUGGCUCCCA